GGUGCUGGGAGCUCCAAGCUGAGCAGCCAAGCGGCGUGAAUCCAGACCUACAGCACCCAGCACCCAGGUGACAGGUGAGGGUGCAGGCAGAGAGGGGCAGGGUGCCAUGGUCACACAAGCCCAGAAACAAGAGGACUCACGCUCAAAUGGGCCCAGCCCCUGUCUCCUGCCUGAAGGAGGGAGCAGGAAGGGUCUUCUGCACACAGUCUCCUCCUGCAGAUAAAGGAGAGACCCAGGAAACCUGUCAGCACCAAGGUGCCUGGAUGCUGGCUGAGAUGGGCCAGUUCUCAGUCAGCCCCAGAGCCCAGCACUGCCCCUCUAGCCCACGAAAUGUCUGGCCUCUGCUUUCAUCCCCAUGCGCCCUCUCUGCCAGCCUGGCCAAGCAUCACUCCUUUUCCUGGCCAGUGGCCACCCCCACUUCAUCCCCUCGGCAAAAUGGGAAUCCCAGCCGUACAGCAGAAGGGAGCCAGUGGCAAGACCACCCGGGAGCACCAGUGACUGGGGGCCCUUUCUUCCACCCCGGAAAGCCCCGAGGAGGGAGAGGCGUGCACAGCAGGCUGAAAAGGAAAGGACAAAGGCGGCUGAGAGAGCCCGGCAUGAAAGGGCCCAGACGCAGUGCUGCAGGCCUGCUCCCCCUGCGCUGCCAGCCCCACCUCACCCACCUGGCUCGUCCUUGGACGAAGACCUCCCAGGCCUGGGAGGAUGGGGCAGGGAGUGGAAGCCUGGAUGCUGUCCUUGGGAGAUGGGCUCAUGGCCGAGGGCCCAGAUUAGCCUGCGAGGAGAGACAGGGAGGUGGACAGGGAGCAGGGAGCAGCCAGGACAGAGACUGGGAGGUCCAGCCUCCCCAGGGAGGGGCAUUCGCUGAGGCCUGCUGAGAUCUUGGCCGCCCUUGCCUCAGUCGCCUCGUCGGAAGCCAGUGUCUUGUGUGCGAAACACCUUGAUGGGCGAAGGCCCUUCACUUGCCUUUCUUCAUGUGCUCACUCAGUCAAUCAACCAAUGCUUGCUGAGUGCCUCCUAUGGGCCAGAGGCAUGCCAGGCUCAGUGCAUGCACAGUGAGCAAGGGGUGAACUCGGUGGGGAGGUCCACCCACCACCUGUCGGGGGAAAGCAGACUCAUCAAAUCCUUCCCCGGCGGGGGAAGCCUGUGCUGCCUGGCGAGAUGCAGCAGACACAGAAGAGCGGGUGCAGGGGGAGCACCCACACACAGGCCCGCCUGGAGGGCAGACAGCCUGGGGUAGUCCUGACGGAGGGGCCACUCUCUUGGGCUUUGUGUUUGUUCUUCUCUUGAUUCUCUUUAUAGUUUUCUCCCGUCACUGCGUCUCUACAGUCGUGUGUUGUGUUGUUUUUCCUGGUUCCAAACCAUAUUUUAUUUACUGGACAUACUGUUCUGUAACCUGCUUCUUUC
Molecule: long non-coding RNA, 1404 nt
Filed under: Equus asinus (donkey)
Lineage: Eukaryota; Metazoa; Chordata; Mammalia; Perissodactyla; Equidae
Description: lncRNA (ENSEASG00005027873.1)
Source: RNAcentral